GGUGUUUACUGUUUGCCCGGACGAUUUUGUUGGUUCGUUCAUGGUUCUCUUAACCGAGUGCCAUGAGUGGCCAGCACGUUUACUUUGAAAAAAUUGGAGUGCUCAAAGCAGGCGCUACAGCCUGAACAUUAGUGCAUGGAAUAAUGGAAUAGGAUCUCGGUUCUAUUUCGUUGGCUUUCGGAGUCGAGGUAAUGAUUAAUAGGGACAGACGGGGGCAUUCGUACUGCGACGUUAGAGGUGAAAUUCUUGGAUCGUCGCAAGACGAACUACUGCGAAAGCAUUUGCCAAGAAUGUUUUCAUUAAUCAAGAACGAAAGUUAGAGGUUCGAAGGCGAUCAGAUACCGCCCUAGUUCUAACCAUAAACGAUGUCGACCGGCGAUCCGCUUUCGUUAACUGAAUGACUAAGCGGGCAGCCUCCGGGAAACCAGAGUGUGUGGAUUCCUGGGGAAGUAUGGUUGCAAAGCUGAAACUUAAAGGAAUUGACGGAAGGGCACCACCAGGAGUGGAGCCUGCGGCUUAAUUUGACUCAACACGGGAAAUCUCACCAGGCCCGGACACCGGAAGGAUUGACAGAUUGAGAGCUCUUUCUUGAUUCGGUGGGUGGUGGUGCAUGGCCGUUCUUAGUUGGUGGAGCGAUUUGUCUGGUUAAUUCCGAUAACGAACGAGACUCUGGCCUACUAAAUAGACGUUGGAUCCCUUUGUGGGUCCAUCGCAGCUUCUUAGAGGGACGGGCGG
This 735-nucleotide ribosomal RNA is filed under the name uncultured eukaryote. RNAcentral's name for it is "SSU rRNA". It matches the Rfam family "Eukaryotic small subunit ribosomal RNA", at positions 673 to 1426 of the family's 1831-position model. The record is from RNAcentral.